AGGACAUUAAUGAAAUUAUAAUCCGGCGAGGGGAAAGGCGGAGAGUUGUAGCUGGCCUCCAGGGGCAUGUGCACGCUCUCUUCCGGACCUUUCGCCGUAUGGGCGCGGGGCGACCCGCGUCUUCAUAUACCUCUUCGUGUAGAAAGUCUUUGAAUGUUUUACCAUCAUCGAGUCGCGACUUCUAGGAGACGCGAUUCUUUGAGAAAAAAGUUAUUACAACUUUCAGCAACGGAUCUCUUGGCUCUCGCAUCGAUGAAGAACGCAGCGAAUCGCGAUAUGUAAUGUGAAUUGCAGAUCUACAGUGAAUCAUCGAAUCUUUGAACGCACCUUGCGCUCCUCGGUGUUCCGAGGAGCAUGCCUGUUUGAGUGUCAGUAAAUUCUCAACCCCUCUCGAUUUGCUUCGAGCGGGUGCUUGGAUGUUGGGGGCUGCCGGAGACACUGGAUUCGUCCAGGACUCGGGCUCCUCUUAAAUGAAUCGGCUCGCGGUCGACUUUCGACUUUGCAUGACAAGGCCUUUGGCGUGAUAAUGAUCGCCGUUCGCCGAAGUGCAAGACAGAAUGGUCCCGUGCCUCUAAUGCGUCGACGCCUCUAGGGGCGUCUUCCUCAUUGACGUUUGACCUCAAAUCAGGUAGGACUACCCGCUGAACUUAAGCAUAUCAAUAAGCGGAGGAAAAGAAACUAACAAGGAUUCCCCUAGUAACUGCGAGUGAACCGGGAAAAGCUCAAAUUUUGAAUCUGGCGGUCUUCAGGCCGUCCGAGUUGUAAUCUAGAGAAGCGUCUGCCGCG
RNAcentral lists this ribosomal RNA (786 nucleotides) under ectomycorrhizal root tip (Rhizopogon) 167_Ny2.B1-27.5. RNAcentral's name for it is "eukaryotic LSU rRNA". The stretch from base 218 to 372 matches the Rfam family "5.8S ribosomal RNA". Lineage: Eukaryota; Fungi; Basidiomycota; Agaricomycetes; Boletales; Rhizopogonaceae. The record is from RNAcentral.